This 359-nucleotide unclassified non-coding RNA is filed under the name Hevea brasiliensis (rubber tree). The record is from RNAcentral. Lineage: Eukaryota; Viridiplantae; Streptophyta; Magnoliopsida; Malpighiales; Euphorbiaceae.
AAGUAUGACUUGUAAAACACGAAUGGUCGAAUAUUAGAUUCACUCUCACCCACUCCACUGAGAACUAAGUCGAGAGAUCGUCGGCGAUAGAGAGUAGGAGAAAGGAAUUUGAAAGAAAAAUGGCGUCGAACCAAGUGAGGGCAUCCCACAUACUCAUCAAACACGAAGGAUCUAGACGUAAAUCUUCAUGGAAAGAUCCAGAAGGUCGCAUCAUCUGUAACACCACCAGAGACGCCGCCGCUUCCCAGCUCAAAUCCUUUCGCGAUGACAUCAUCUCCGGCAAGUCCAAGUUCGAAGAUGUUGCUUCUCGCUUCUCUGAUUGCAGCUCUGCCAAACGCGGCGGCGAUCUCGGUCCAUUU